This 253-nucleotide ribosomal RNA is filed under the name uncultured bacterium. Its description in RNAcentral is "partial 16S ribosomal RNA". It matches the Rfam family "Bacterial small subunit ribosomal RNA", at positions 524 to 776 of the family's 1533-position model. The record is from RNAcentral.
GACGUAGGGCGCGAGCGUUGUCCGGAUUUAUUGGGCGUAAAGAGCUCGUAGGCGGUCUGUCGCGUCGGCUGUGAAAUCCCGAGGCUCAACCUCGGGUCUGCAGUCGAUACGGGCAGACUAGAGUGCUGUAGGGGAGACUGGAAUUCCUGGUGUAGCGGUGAAAUGCGCAGAUAUCAGGAGGAACACCGGUGGCGAAGGCGGGUCUCUGGGCAGUAACUGACGCUGAGGAGCGAAAGCGUGGGGAGCAAACAGG